UCCCUGGUGGUCUAGGGGUUAGGACUCAGCACUUUCACUGCUGUGGCCCAGAUUCAAUCCCUGGUCUGGGAA
This is a non-coding RNA of Sus scrofa (pig), 72 nucleotides long. NCBI's taxonomy places the organism in Eukaryota, Metazoa, Chordata, Mammalia, Artiodactyla, Suidae. The record is from Rfam.